UACUCCUACGGGAGGCAGCAGUAGGGAAUUUUCAGCAAUGGGGGAAACCCUGACCGAGCAACGCCGCGUGAAUGACGAAGUACUUCGGUAUGUAAAGUUCUUUUAUUGGGGAAGAAUGGUACGUGGAAAAACGUACGUGACGGUACCUAAUGAAUAAGCCCCGGCUAACUAUGUGCCAGCAGCCGCGGUAAU
RNAcentral lists this ribosomal RNA (192 nucleotides) under uncultured Acholeplasma sp. RNAcentral's name for it is "partial 16S ribosomal RNA". It matches the Rfam family "Bacterial small subunit ribosomal RNA", at positions 334 to 524 of the family's 1533-position model. The record is from RNAcentral. Lineage: Bacteria; Bacillati; Mycoplasmatota; Mollicutes; Acholeplasmatales; Acholeplasmataceae.